This 531-nucleotide ribosomal RNA is filed under the name Sticta aff. subscrobiculata. RNAcentral's name for it is "eukaryotic LSU rRNA". It matches the Rfam family "Eukaryotic large subunit ribosomal RNA", at positions 102 to 646 of the family's 3401-position model. The record is from RNAcentral. Lineage: Eukaryota; Fungi; Ascomycota; Lecanoromycetes; Peltigerales; Lobariaceae.
CAACAGCUCAAAUUUGAAAUCUGGCCUCUUCGGGGUCCGAGUUGUAAUUUGUAGAGGGUGUUUCGGGCGCGAUGCCGGUCUAAGUUCCUUGGAACAGGACGUCGCAGAGGGUGAGAAUCCCGUACGCGACCGGCGAUCAAGCCUGUGUGAAGCCCCUUCGACGAGUCGAGUUGUUUGGGAAUGCAGCUCAAAAUGGGUGGUAAAUUUCAUCUAAAGCUAAAUAUUGGCCAGAGACCGAUAGCGGACAAGUAGAGUGAUCGAAAGAUGAAAAGCACUUUGGAAAGAGAGUCAAACAGUACGUGAAAUUGUUGAAAGGGAAGCGCUUGCAAUCAGACCGGUCCGGAGGCGAUCAGCCGCUGCUCGUUCAGCGGUGCACUCGCCUGCGAUCCGGCCAGCAUCGGUUUGGGCGGUGGGAUAAAAGUCCCGGGAAUGUAGCUUCUCUCGGGGAGUCUUAUAGCCCGGGUCGCAAUGCCGCCCGCCCGGACCGAGGACCGCGCUUCGGCUAGGAUGCUGGCGUAAUGGUUGCAAGCG